AGUCGUUAAGGGCGCACGGUGGAUGCCUUGGCAUCAGGAGCCGAAGAAGGACGUGGCAACCUGCGAUAAGCCUCGGGGAGUUGGUAAGCGAGCGGUGAUCCGAGGGUGUCCGAAUGGGGAAACCCCGCGGCAUGUCAUGUGUCGUGACCCGUGCCUGAAUAUAUAGGGCAUGUGGGGGGAACGUGGGGAAGUGAAACAUCUCAGUACCCACAGGAAGAGAAAACAAUAGUGAUUCCGGGAGUAGUGGCGAGCGAAACUGGAAGAGCCUAAACCUGCGGGCGUGUAAGACGGUAGUCGUUGCGCUGGUGGGGGUUGUGGGGUCUGCGCGUGGUGGUUCUACCGGGCCAUCGGGCGUGCUGCUGGUAUAGCCGAACACGUUGGGAAGCGUGACCGUAGUGGGUGAGAGUCCCGUAGGUGAAAUGCUGGUGUGCGUGUCUAGUGCGGUGUCCCCGAGUAUCACGGGACUCGUGGAAUCUCGUGUGAAUCUGCCAGGACCACCUGGUAAGGCUAAAUACUUCCUGAUGACCGAUAGCGGAUCAGUACCGUGAGGGAAUGGUGAAAAGUACCCCGGGAGGGGAGUGAAAUAGUACCUGAAACCGUGUGCCUACAAUCCGUCAGAGCCUCCUUGUUGGGGUGAUGGCGUGCCUUUUGAAGAAUGAGCCUGCGAGUUAGCGGUACGUGGCGAGGUUAACCCGUGUGGGGUAGCCGUAGCGAAAGCGAGUCCGAAUAGGGCGAUUUUAGUCGCGUGUCCUAGACCCGAAGCGGAGUGAUCUAGCCAUGGGCAGGGUGAAGCGACGGUAAGACGUCGUGGAGGCCCGAACCCACCUAGGUUGAAAACUGGGGGGAUGACCUGUGGUUAGGGGUGAAAGGCCAAUCAAACUCUGUGAUAGCUGGUUCUCCCCGAAAUGCAUUUAGGUGCAGCGUUGCGUGUUGCUUGCUGGAGGUAGAGCUACUGGAUGGCCGAUGGGCCCUACAAGGUUACUGACGUCAGCCAAACUCCGAAUGCCGGUAAGUGUAAGCGUGGCAGUGAGACUGCGGGGGAUAAGCUUCGUAGUCGAGAGGGAAACAGCCCAGACCAUCAACUAAGGCCCCUAAGCGUGUGCUCAGUGGGAAAGCAUGUGGAGUUGCUUAGACAACCAGGAGGUUGGCUUAGAAGCAGCCAUCCUUGAAAGAGUGCGUAAUAGCUCACUGGUCAAGUGAUUCUGCGGCGAUAAUGUAGCGGGGCUUAAGUACACCGCCGAAGUUGUGGCAUUGCCUCUUGUGAUGAGCCUUCGUGGUUCAGUCGAGGUGAUGGGUAGGGGAGCGUCGUGUGGGUGGUGAAGCUGCGGAGUGAUCCAGUGGUGGAACCUACACGAGUGAGAAUGCAGGCAUGAGUAGCGAAAGACGGGUGAGAAACCCGUCCGCCGGAUGACCAAGGGUUCCAGGGUCAAGCUAAUCUGCCCUGGGUGAGUCGGGACCUAAGGCGAGGCCGACAGGCGUAGUCGAUGGACAACGGGUUAUUAUUCCCGUACCGGCGAAGAACCGCCCAUACCGAGGCCGGGGAUACUAACCAUCCGCUGCUGCACGUGUGCCUGUACGCGCUUCACUUGUGGAGUGUGUGCAGGUGGUGUAGUGGUGCGUGGGACCUGAUCUGGUAGUAGGUAAGCGUAUUAACAGGUGUGACGCAGGAAGGUAGCCGGGCCGUGCGAUGGUUGUCGCGGUCUAAGGUGGUAGGCCGUCUCUUAGGCAAAUCCGGGAGACAUUGAGGCUGAGAGCUGAUGGGACCCCACGUUUGGUGGGGGAUCCGGUGAUCCUAUGCUGCCGAGAAAAGCAUCGACGUGAGGUUCUAGCCGCCCGUACCCCAAACCAACUCAGGUGGUCAGGUAGAGAAUACCAAGGCGAUCGAGAUAAUCGUGGUGAAGGAACUCGGCAAAAUGCCCCCGUAACUUAGGGAGAAGGGGGGCCCGG
Molecule: ribosomal RNA, 1947 nt
Filed under: Sediminivirga luteola
Lineage: Bacteria; Bacillati; Actinomycetota; Actinomycetes; Micrococcales; Brevibacteriaceae
Description: 23S ribosomal RNA
Rfam family: Bacterial large subunit ribosomal RNA
Source: RNAcentral